GCAGCCAUCAUUUAAAGAAAGCGUAAUAGCUCACUGGUCGAGUCGGCCUGCGCGGAAGAUGUAACGGGGCUAAACCAUGCACCGAAGCUGCGGCAGCGACGCUGUGCGUUGUUGGGUAGGGGAGCGUUCUGUAAGCCUGCGAAGGUGUGCCGUGAGGGUUGCUGGAGGUAUCAGAAGUGCGAAUGCUGACAUAAGUAACGAUAAAGCGGGUGAAAAGCCCGCUCGCCGGAAGACCAAGGGUUCCUGUCCAACGUUAAUCGGGGCAGGGUGAGUCGACCCCUAAGGCGAGGCCGAAAGGCGUAGUCGAUGGGAAACGGGUUAAUAUUCCCGUACUUGGUGUUACUGCGAAGGGGGGACGGAGAAGGCUAUGUUGGCCGGGCGACGGUUGUCCCGGUUUAAGCGUGUAGGUGUGUGUUCCAGGUAAAUCCGGUUCACUUUAACACUGAGGCGUGAUGACGAGGCACUACGGUGCUGAAGCAACAAAUGCCCUGCUUCCAGGAAAAGCCUCUAAGCAUCAGGUAACAUCAAAUCGUACCCCAAACCGACACAGGUGGUCAGGUAGAGAAUACCAAGGCGCUUGAGAGAACUCGGGUGAAGGAACUAGGCAAAAUGGUGCCGUAACUUCGGGAGAAGGCACGCUGACACGUAGGUGAAGUGAUUUACUCACGGAGCUGAAGUCAGUCGAAG
Molecule: ribosomal RNA, 687 nt
Filed under: Salmonella enterica subsp. enterica
Lineage: Bacteria; Pseudomonadati; Pseudomonadota; Gammaproteobacteria; Enterobacterales; Enterobacteriaceae
Description: bacterial LSU rRNA
Rfam family: Bacterial large subunit ribosomal RNA
Source: RNAcentral